Molecule: small nuclear RNA, 87 nt
Organism: Ailuropoda melanoleuca (giant panda)
Lineage: Eukaryota; Metazoa; Chordata; Mammalia; Carnivora; Ursidae
Source: Ensembl
UGAGUAAGAAAUAUAAUGACACAGAGAAUAUUAGCAUGGAUCCUGUGCAAGGAUGGCAUACAAUUUCACGAAGCAUUCCAUAUUAAA